This 583-nucleotide ribosomal RNA is filed under the name uncultured fungus. RNAcentral's name for it is "SSU rRNA". It matches the Rfam family "Eukaryotic small subunit ribosomal RNA", at positions 83 to 668 of the family's 1831-position model. The record is from RNAcentral. Lineage: Eukaryota; Fungi.
GAAACUGCGAAUGGCUCAUUAAAUCAGUUAUCGUUUAUUUGAUAGUACCUUACUACAUGGAUACCUGUGGUAAUUCUAGAGCUAAUACAUGCUAAAAACCCCGACUUCAGGAAGGGGUGUAUUUAUUAGAUAAAAAACCAACGCCCUUCGGGGCUCCUUGGUGAAUCAUAAUAACUUAACGAAUCGCAUGGCCUUGCGCCGGCGAUGGUUCAUUCAAAUUUCUGCCCUAUCAACUUUCGAUGGUAGGAUAGUGGCCUACCAUGGUGGCAACGGGUAACGGGGAAUUAGGGUUCGAUUCCGGAGAGGGAGCCUGAGAAACGGCUACCACAUCCAAGGAAGGCAGCAGGCGCGCAAAUUACCCAAUCCCGAUACGGGGAGGUAGUGACAAUAAAUACUGAUACGGGGCUCUUUUGGGUCUCGUAAUCGGAAUGAGAACAAUUUAAAUCCCUUAACGAGGAACAAUUGGAGGGCAAGCCUGGUGCCAGCAGCCGCGGUAAUUCCAGCUCCAAUAGCGUAUAUUAAAGUUGUUGCAGUUAAAAAGCUCGUAGUUGAACCUUGGGUCUGGCUGGCCGGUCCGCCUCAC